This is a long non-coding RNA of Setaria italica (foxtail millet), 992 nucleotides long. RefSeq lists it as uncharacterized. The transcript is spliced from 2 exons. The record is from RefSeq and is a predicted model, not a curated record. NCBI's taxonomy places the organism in Eukaryota, Viridiplantae, Streptophyta, Magnoliopsida, Poales, Poaceae.
GCGUCCCCACCCUCGCGACGCUCGUCCGCACCGCACUCACCCGCCGCGCGUGACGCCGCGCGGUGGCCAGCCUCCCGAUUCGCAAAGCCUCCCUCAGCCUCCCGAUUCGAAAAGCCUCCGCCUCCCUUCCACCCUCCGCCGCCGCGCGCCAACCCCUACGAGCUCCAGCGCCAGCUCGUCGCCGCCGCCUCCGCCGCCGACUCCGCAUCUGGCGUCCAGUCCUCCUUCUCCAUCCGUCGAGGACGGAUGCGCCAACAUCCGCGGCGGCCUAGACGAGGCCGAUGCCACAGGAACGCGGUCGCCAGCGUCAUCCUCUUCUCGGACGGCCAGGACAACAGCAGCGGUGGCGGCGGCUUCUUCCACGGCCCUCGUAGCUUGUUGGACGCGGCAGAGAUUCGGCCGAGGCGAAGUCUGAUGUGGCGGCCGGCGCUCUGGACACGGCAGCGGGAACCACGAUUCGGCGGCCGGUGGGGCUAGACGAGGCAGCGGUGAGCUCGAUUCGGACAUGGCGGAGCUCGAUUCGGAGGCAACGAGGAACCCACGUCAAGAUGGCCGUCCGGUUCUGCUGAUCCGUGUCAUUUUUUAGUUCGCUGGACUGCCUGGUAUCACUAUCAACCAUCGCUGAUACUUCCUCAAAUGCUGCAGACACUGAGCCAAAAAAAAAGCAAGAAAAGGAAAAUCACUAAAAGAAUCUGGAACUCUAUGGCAACAGCAAUCAGAAUAUUGAAAAUCUUCACCCUUGAAUGGCCAUGGAUCAAUGGCAAGCACGAUCAGCAAGAGUACUCCAACGCAGCUGUGGGCCAGCAUGGCAGGCGCCAGUGACAAAGAUAUAGUAUAGUAGCAGGGAGAGAUUUUGCAGUUCUGUAAGCCAAUAGAGUAUAGCUAGUUCUUGUGCAGGUGCUUAUAAUUGUCAAAAUGCAAUUGUAAAAAGAUACUGAAAAUGGUACCAUUUGGUACAAUGUUAUAUAGUCAAUGGAUGCUUGUGCUGACAA